This 213-nucleotide non-coding RNA is filed under the name Filifactor alocis. RNAcentral's name for it is "T-box sequence". It matches the Rfam family "T-box leader". From Rfam's summary of the family: Uncharged tRNA acts as the effector for transcription antitermination of genes in the T-box leader family. T-boxes are found upstream of many aminoacyl-tRNA synthetase genes and some amino acid biosynthetic genes usually in Gram-positive bacteria. The record is from RNAcentral. Lineage: Bacteria; Bacillati; Bacillota; Clostridia; Peptostreptococcales; Filifactoraceae.
AAAAUGGCUGGGAAAGAGAUUAGUAAAAAGGAUGUAUUGAGUACAGAAAGAAGGAGAAAAUGAGAGCCUUUCUUGAGAAACCUUUUGAAUUCACUCUGGAGCUGAGAGAAUGAAAACGGAGUAGUUCCUUCGCAAGAAAAAGCGUUAUAAUAUCAAUGAGUAUGAGUCCUUAUGGAUGUUAGGGUGGUACCGCAGAUGAAAUUUGCCCCUACA